UCUGGCUUGACUAUUGCACACUGCUUAGCACCGAGUGCCAUAUAGCAGGAGAUCAACGUGUACCUGUGGAAUAACAGAUGGUAUCCCAUUCCCUGAGAUCCAAGAGGAGGAGGAUGCUGAAUCAUAUUCUCCAACAAGGAACUUUCCAAUUCUUCCUUGUGUCCUGUGGUGUCUACAGCACCUAGGACAGCGCCCGCAGCGCAGGAAGCCACCCAAUGACUGUUGAAUAGAAAUGGAGAGAUUACUGAAGCAGAAAAACAGUCAACAGUUCACUGGAAAGCAGUACCUACUACUGGGAAGGAAAGGAUCUGAACCCCCUCUGGGGGACGAAAUGAUGAUAUAUCAGUAAAACACGAUGCUAUGCAAGGCACAUCCACAACGGAAGAUUGCCAGUUCAAGUCUAGAGACCUCCCUGCCUACACUGAGCACGACCUGUCCUGAAGAUAAACGAAGUAAGACACAGAGAAGUUAGGUGACUAACUAAGGUCACACAGCUGGACAGUGGCUAAACCUGGAUUCCAAGGCAAGUGAUCAAGAGCUGAAGACUGACUUCUUACCAUACAAAGUAAGGUGCCAAUCUGGAGUUAAGGUUCUCGUCCUGCUGAGGCCCAGCUGCUGAUCCAGUGAGGUGAAGAGCCCAACAGAGGUGGAGGCUUAAGGACACAGAAAACAAACUAACCUCAGGGCCCUGGACUCACAAAGUAGGGAGCCAUUACUAAUAACGAGAGAGAGAGAAGGGCAGUGGUUAGGACCAGGGACUGAACUGAAAGCCUAGACUUGGAUUCCAGCUCUGCCAUUUAGAAGCCAUGACACCUUGGGCACUCUCUCAAUGUUCUCAUCAGUAAGACGGGGAUACAAUGAUAUCUGUUUCAUAGAGUUGUUGUAACAGGUACGUGAGCUGGUUUUGGAAAGCACUGAGCACUGACCCUGGCAUACAGUAAGCGAGAUGUGAGUGCUAAAUAAAAUAAACACA
Tupaia belangeri chinensis (Chinese tree shrew) is the source of this 973-nucleotide long non-coding RNA. RefSeq lists it as uncharacterized. The record is from RefSeq and is a predicted model, not a curated record. Lineage: Eukaryota; Metazoa; Chordata; Mammalia; Scandentia; Tupaiidae. The transcript is spliced from 3 exons.